This 1536-nucleotide long non-coding RNA is filed under the name Mus musculus (house mouse). Its description in RNAcentral is "predicted gene, 47237". The record is from RNAcentral. Lineage: Eukaryota; Metazoa; Chordata; Mammalia; Rodentia; Muridae.
GUAAGGUUGGCCUGAUGUCCAUCUUGUCCUGGGUCCCCUCCCAGUAAGUGCUCUCCUAUGUAUUUUGCAGUAACCCCUAAGAUUACUCAGGUCUUGGCACAAUAAGCAGAAAUUGCUGAGGUAGAUACAAAUAGAAAUCCACUUAACCCUUCCUGAGGAGGCCCAGAUAUUCCAGAAAGUAACUGAGGAACUAUGUGCAUGUGCCUCAAGCCAGUGGAGCUGAUCCAUUAGGAGAAGUCCAGAAUGGGAGGGCUAGCCUACUCUCGUCUGCUCCCUUCUCUGACAGAUAGCUGGGCAUUUCCAUUGAGGAGACAGCAGGCAGCCACAGGAGUUGAGCAUGGUUUCAUCCUCAGUGUCAUGAAUCAUAGUCUUUAACUGAUGGCUGCUGUCCUCAUAAAGGGCGUCACCUCCUCAGAGGGCCUCCUGUGGCCAUCAAGAUAAUGAGUGGGUUGAACUGUGUUCCUUUCCAUUUCAGAUGUGAAACAACCCUUUGGCUAAAUCAGCAGUAACUAAGAAAGGACUUUUCUGCGUAAACAAGAGUGAGGCUGGGGCUAGAGAUCUCCUGUCCCCAGACCUGAGCACUAUUAGCCAGAGAAGCCACUGAAGCUAUUCCCAAGCUAACAUUCUGAUGCUCAAUCAGGGUGGUUUGCAGAGGGCUCCCAGGGCCCAGUCUCUGGGGUGCAAUGAUGCAGAAGAAAUGGGUAUCCUCUUUGCUGCUCAAAGUCCUCUGUGGGCUAAUAGCAUUACUUGUGAACUUGUUAGAAAGAAAGGACAGGUAAGCAGGGCAUGGAAGCCACAUUCUUGUCAUCUCAGCAUUUAGGGGGUAGAGGCAGGAGGAUCAGGAGUUCACAACCAGUGUGGGCUGUAUGAGACCCUAUCUUAAAAACAAAGAACCAGGUUGGGCUGCAGCCCAGUGACAGAGCCUUCCCCUAAGCAGUUAUAGAAAGCUCUAGGUUGAGAAAAGGAAAUGGGGGCUCCCAGGUUCUUCUCCGGAUGGCUGAGUGAGAUUUCAACAAGGCUACAGGCCAUUGGCAUACACAGAGCACAAUACAGUGCAUGGGUUCCCAGCACUCAGGAGGCAGAGGCAGGCGGAUUUCUGAGUUCGAGGCCAGCCUGGUCUACAAAGUGAGUUCCAGGACAGCCAGGGCUACACAGAGAAACCCUGUCUCAAAAAAAACCACUAAAUAAAUAAAUAAAUAAACAAACAAAUAAAUAAAUACCCUGUCUCAAAAAAAACAUUAAAUAAAUAAAUAAAUAAAAAUAAAGUGCAUGGUGCAAUGAAGACCACUCCUCAACCUGGAGCUAGCUCAUUACUUGGCCAGACUAGAGCGAGGCAGGUCACAGUAGCACAUGGGCGGGAAGGAGUCAGGCCAUACAACCCCACCCAAAGGUUUUGACUUUUACUUCACGAUGCCAUCUGUCCUUCCAUGCACAUUUAUAAAUUCCCCUACAUGCCCUACCUCAGGGUAGGGUUCUAACCACAGGACACUCCACCAAGAUCAAGAGAAGGAAACUGUAUAGAGAUCACUGGUAACC